This 479-nucleotide ribosomal RNA is filed under the name uncultured bacterium. Its description in RNAcentral is "bacterial SSU rRNA". It matches the Rfam family "Bacterial small subunit ribosomal RNA", at positions 30 to 507 of the family's 1533-position model. The record is from RNAcentral.
AUUGAACGCUGGCGGAAUGCUUUACACAUGCAAGUCGAACGGUAGAGGGGGCAACCCCUCGAGAGUGGCGAACGGGUGAGUAAUAUAUCGGAACGUGCCCAGUCGUGGGGGAUAACGUAGCGAAAGUUACGCUAAUACCGCAUACGAUCUACGGAUGAAAGCGGGGGACCGUAAGGCCUCGCGCGAUUGGAGCGGCCGAUAUCAGAUUAGCUAGUUGGUGGGGUAAAGGCCCACCAAGGCGACGAUCUGUAGCUGGUCUGAGAGGACGACCAGCCACACUGGGACUGAGACACGGCCCAGACUCCUACGGGAGGCAGCAGUGGGGAAUUUUGGACAAUGGGCGCAAGCCUGAUCCAGCAAUGCCGCGUGCAGGAAGAAGGCCUUCGGGUUGUAAACUGCUUUGUACGGAACGAAAAGGUCUGGGUUAAUACCCUGGGCUCAUGACGGUACCGUAAGAAUAAGCACCGGCUAACUACGUG